Fundulus heteroclitus (mummichog) is the source of this 4367-nucleotide RNA transcript. It is a transcript of the gene named retinoblastoma 1, with no coding region annotated. The record is from RefSeq and is marked provisional. The transcript has 28 exons. NCBI's taxonomy places the organism in Eukaryota, Metazoa, Chordata, Actinopteri, Cyprinodontiformes, Fundulidae.
AACGAACCUACCACGGAACUCCGUUACAGGAAGUAGGUCCGAGUUGGGUGUAUUGUUGUCACGGAACUUGCUCGCUGGGUUUUAAAUUUGCCCCGUCGUUUGCCUUGGCCCGCAUACCGCCUCUCUGUGUUUUUGUUCAUCCGAUUUACCCGACAGGCGAGCAGAGACGCCGAGGAGCUUUAGGAAUGCCGCCUAAAAAGCGCCACUCCGGGCUGACAGGGAGCAGGGAGCCGAAGCCCGACGCUGACAGCGCCUCUUCUCCCGACAAGCAGGAGAGCCCAGAGUUAUCUGAAGAAAAACACAGAGACAAGAAUGCCGAGUUUGUGAGUCUGUGUAAGAGCCUCCACGUCUCAGACCUGUUGUGCGACCGAGCCUGGCACCUGUGGAGAACCGUUCAAGAAUCCAUGGAUAAAGCCCCUGGCAGCCAGGAAAGACUGUGGGCCGCUUGUCUGUUCGUUACGGUGACAGACAUGGACGUCGGCUGCUUUACUGUCACUCAGGUCCUGAAAGCUGUCAGACUGAAUUUAAAGCAGUUCUUGGAUGUGGUGAGACAGCUGGACGUGAACCUCGACACUAUAACCACCAAGGUCAACUCCAGACUGACACGACUGGAGAAGAAGUACGACGUAAUGCUGGCUCUUUACCAAAGAUUUGAGAAAACUUGCAAGAGUAUCUUUGUUCUCACCCCAGACGGCAGGGAGAGGGAGACCAUGCGGACCUGCUGGACCAUGUUUCUUUUGGCCAAAGGAAGGGCCCUGCAGAUGGAGGAUGACCUGGUCAUAUCCUUCCAGCUGCUGCUUUGCACGCUGGAGCUGAUCAUCAAGCGCUGCUCUCCAGACCAGUUACAGCCUCUUUAUCAAUCCGCCGUUAGCAAGGUCCAGAGCCCGCCAACACGAACGUCGCGGCGCAGCCAGAGCAAAGCAAAGUCCCGGCCCGCGGAGCCCGAGGUCGACGCGCGGCUCCUGGAAACCCUGUGCAAAGACAACGAAUGCAACAUCGAAGAGGUGAAGAACGUCUACAACACCAGCUUCCUGGCCUUUCUAGACUCCAUGGAUCUUUCGAGAGCCGCCGGCGUUCCUCAGGCGAAGGACAUCAACCGGCUGUAUGAAGAGCACUACCUCAAGAGCAGAGACGUCGACGGGCGUCUGUUCUUUGACGGGGACGAGAGCGUUCUGCCUCCUAAAGUCCAGAUAUCGCAGGUGGAGAGAACGCCAAAGAAGAACCAGCCAGAUGAAGAUGGGCCAAUGAUCCCUCCUCCGACUCCGAUCAGAGCGGCCAUGACCUCCAUCCAGAUGCUGCGGGGAGAUCUCCCCUCCAACGGGGACCGGCCUUCUGCCACCCUCGCCACAUAUUUCAAAAACUGCACCGUGGACCCGACGCAGGACGUGCAGAAGCGUUUGGAGACGCUGGGACAGGCGUUUAGCCAGAAGUUUGGCGAGGCCGCGGGGCCGCACUGCGUCGUCUACGGCCAGCAGAGAUUUGGCCUCGCCGUGAGAUUAUACUACAAAGUGAUGGAGGCGAUGCUGAAAUCGGAAGAGAAGCGUCUGUCUGUUCAAAAUUUCAGUAAACUCCUCAAUGACGCCACGUUUCACACAUCCCUCCUGGCCUGUUCUUUGGAGGUGGUCAUGGCAACAUAUGAAGAGAGUAGUUUCAAGAACGGCGGAGGUGACCAAACCGGAACCAACUUGUGCUUCCCGUGGAUCCUGAACGUCCUCAACCUCUCCGCCUUCGACUUCUACAAGGUGAUCGAGAGCUUCAUCAAGGCGGAGCCCACGCUGAGCAAAGACAUCAUCAAACACCUGGAGACCUGCGAGAACCUCAUCAUGGAGAGGAUCGCCUGGAGGACGGGCUCCCCGCUGUUCGAGCUCCUGCAGCAGGAGCAUGCGAGCGCAGCAGCAGAGCCGGUGGAGACCACAGCCAGUUUCAGCCAACCGCUGCAGCACAACCACACCGCCGCUGACCUAUAUCUCUCCCCUGUGCGCCAAGGCUUGCGGGUCUUGCCUUCCGAUUCCCCGGCCACGCCCCCCCAGCAGCCCACCGCCUCUCAGUCCAGCUCCCAGGCCCCCUGCCAAGCUCCAAGGCAGCCGAAAUCCAACUCCCUCAGUCUUUUCUAUAAGAAAUUGUACCGCCUGGCCUAUACGAGGCUAAAGACACUCUGCUCCUACCUGCUGUCCUCUCACCCUGAACUGGAGCCUAUAAUAUGGACCCUGUUCCAGUACACCCUGCAGCACGAGUACGAGCUGAUGAGAGACCGCCACCUGGACCAGCUGAUGAUGUCAGCCAUGUACGCCAUAUGCAAAGUGAAGAGCGUCGACCUGCGCUUCAAGUCCAUUGUCUCGGCCUACAAGAACAUGGCCAACACCAACCAGGAGACCUUUAAGAACGUGCUGAUCACCGAAGGCCACUAUGACUCCAUCAUCGUCUUCUACAACCAAGUAUUCAUGCAGAAGUUGAAAACGAAUAUCCUGCAACAUGCGUCCACCAAGCCGCCUCCGCCCUCUCCGAUCCCUCAAAUGCCUCGCAGCCCAUACAAGUUCCCCAACUCUCCUCUGCGCGUGCCUGGGAGCAACAACGUCUACAUCUCCCCUCUGAAGAACUCCCGCAUGUCUCCGGGUAUCAUGACUCCUCGCUCCAGAAUGCUGGUGUCCAUUGGCGAAUCGUUUGGGCUGAGCAAUCGCUUCCAGAAGAUCAACCAGAUGGUCAACAGCAGCGAACGCUCCCACAAGAGGACGAUGGACUCAGGCUCCACUCUGAAGCCUCUGAAGAGGCUUCGCUUCGACAUGGACGGUCAGGAUGAAGCCGACGGCAGCAAACCUGGAGGAGAUUCAACCCUGAUACAGAAACUUACAGAGAUGAGCUCCACUUGGAGUCGCAUGCACGAGCAGAAGAUGAAGGAGGACCCCGACACGAGGGAGGAGCCGCAGUGAGGACCGACCUGCACUGUUCGUCACGUUGUGAACACUACUGGUAGCUCAAAGAUGGAGGCAGACGUGAAUCUUCUCUGUACAUUUGAUGUGUUUUAGUUUGUAUUUAACUUGGCUCAGCCAGCAACCUGAGAAUGCAGGAGACUUUCUUGGCUUUUUGUGUUUAGGCUUUUGAGUGUUUUUACCGCGCAAUUUUUAUUGUAGUUCCUUGGACUUUUGACAACGAACAUUCAUUUGGUUUUAGCGAUCUUAGUUGGCUGCUGUCGAGGAAGCCUUUUGUUUCCCCUUCACCUAUGUCAAAAGCCUUGAUCAUGAUGCAGCAUUUCCAUUGUUAAAUCAUGGUUGUAUAGGAAACAGAGGAAAAUGUUUUGCUUUGCAGUUCAAGUCCUAAAUUAACAACGCUGCACUCAGUGGGGGUUUUUCACACGGGGGCGUUAUGGCUCACCGGCCAAGGCCUUUUCUCAGGGGGCUGCACCAACGCCCAGAGAAAACAAGUUUUCUGGAGUUCCUUUGUGUUUCAAAAUUCCUGUUUCGUGCUUAAUGAAGUACUUCUCAUUGUUAAUAAGGUAGCUAGACGGCAUCUGGUCAUCUCAAGUUCAAAAACCUAAAACUUUUUAAAUAGGUUACGUCUGAACACUGGACAAAGAUUCAUUGAAUCACUGAGAUCCAUUCAACCCCUCUUUUGGUUGUAAAAAGAAAAAGAAACAUUUCUAAUCCUUUUUGACAACCUUUAAUUGAGAGUGACUUGGAAACCACAAUAUUCUGCAUUGAAUAAUUUAUGCACAAUGAUUGCAGAUUUUCUAAAAAGACGAUUUUAAUUCAUGAAACUCAUACACGCACCACACGGGAUGCAGAAAGAGGAGCACACCCAGGGCAGCAUGCAUGGAGGGAACCGCCUCUGAUCGCACACAGCAGGCGGUAAAACAUGAUGAACAAACAGAGAGGACACAGGAAAUCUUUCCAUGUGGCGUAAAAUGUGCAGCUUUCUGAUGUUUGCGGCUCGUUUUUUUUUUUUUUUUUUUUUUUUUAAAAGAACAAAUACACUUCAAAUGCAAACACUUCCUACUGGAUUUAAGCUGAAUUAUCUAUUAAACACUCCCUUUUUUUUCCUUUACACUUGUUAUAUUUGGAAAUAGAAGUAAAAGAUCUAGAGAGAGGGAGAGGAAUGCAUUAUUGAUCAUGUGUAGAAAGAGAAUAGAGCAGUAUGUUUUGUAAAAAUAAAUGUGUUUAUAGUCUAAUCUAUUUACUAGGUUCCAGAAGACGGAAACGAUGUAGGAAAACAUUCAAGUUCUGAGUGCAUCUGUUUUUUCAUUUGUUGAAAGCUGUUGUUUUUUUUCCUGCUGUGUUGGUUAAACUGAUUAUUGGAGGAGGAAAAAAAGGAUUGCACAGCUGAUUUGAUUUCUGGUUUGUGUUUUUCUUGAAAUAUACCACUUUUCAAAUUUU